AGAUGAUGGUCUUGUCUCUAUAGCUGAUAUUUCAUGCAACAACAAUAACCAAAAUCAUGAUAAUAAUAAUAACAAGAACAAGGGUGUUACUAAUCAGUACCCUUUAAUUUCUAGGCCACUUUAUUAUACUGUUUCAUCAAGAAGAAGAAAUAGCUUGAGAAAUCUCUCUUCUCUUUCUUCUUCAUCAUCUUCUUCUUCAUCCUUGUUGUCUCCAAGAUCUGUUGUUACUGCUGCUAAGUACUGUGAUGGUAGAUUUGAAGAACCACAACAACAUUUCUUGGAUGCUUGUU
This 290-nucleotide long non-coding RNA is filed under the name Capsicum annuum. RNAcentral describes it as "long non-coding RNA (CANN_LNC000220)". The record is from RNAcentral. Lineage: Eukaryota; Viridiplantae; Streptophyta; Magnoliopsida; Solanales; Solanaceae.